This 253-nucleotide ribosomal RNA is filed under the name uncultured bacterium. RNAcentral describes it as "partial 16S ribosomal RNA". It matches the Rfam family "Bacterial small subunit ribosomal RNA", at positions 524 to 776 of the family's 1533-position model. The record is from RNAcentral.
UACGAAGGGGGCUAGCGUUGCUCGGAAUCACUGGGCGUAAAGGGUGCGUAGGCGGGUCUUUAAGUCAGGGGUGAAAUCCUGGAGCUCAACUCCAGAACUGCCUUUGAUACUGAAGAUCUUGAGUCCGGGAGAGGUGAGUGGAACUGCGAGUGUAGAGGUGAAAUUCGUAGAUAUUCGCAAGAACACCAGUGGCGAAGGCGACUUACUGGACACAUAUUGACGCUGAGGUGCGAAAGCGUGGGGAGCAAACAGG